Molecule: ribosomal RNA, 722 nt
Filed under: uncultured archaeon
Lineage: Archaea
Description: bacterial SSU rRNA
Rfam family: Archaeal small subunit ribosomal RNA
Source: RNAcentral
AAACUGAGGAUAAUACUGGAUAGGCAAUUAUUCCUGCAAUGGUUUUUUGUUUAAAUGUUUUUUCGCCUAAGGAUGGGUCUGCGGCCGAUUAGGUAGUUGGUUAGGUAAUGGCUUACCAAGCCGUUGAUCGGUACGGGUUGUGAGAGCAAGAGCCCGGAGAUGGAACCUGAGACAAGGUUCCAGGCCCUACGGGGUGCAGCAGGCGCGAAACCUCCGCAAUGUGAGAAAUCGCGACGGGGGGAUCCCAAGUGCCAUUCUUAACGGGAUGGCUUUUCAUUAGUGUAAAGAGCUUUUGGAAUAAGGGCUGGGCAAGACCGGUGCCAGCCGCCGCGGUAACACCGGCAGCUCUAGUGGUAGCAGUUUUUAUUGGGCCUAAAGCGUCCGUAGCCGGUUUAAUAAGUCUCUGGUGAAAUCCUGUAGCUUAACUGUGGGAAUUGCUGGAGAUACUAUUAGACUUGAGACCGGGAGAGGUUAGAGGUACUCCCAGGGUAGAGGUGAAAUUCUGUAAUCCUGGGAGGACCGCCUGUUGCGAAGGCGUCUAACUGGAACGGUUCUGACGGUGAGGGACGAAAGUUAGGGGCGCGAACCGGAUUAGAUACCCGGGUAGUCCUAACCGUAAACGAUGCGGACUUGGUGUUGGGGUGGCUUUGAGCUGCUCCAGUGCCGAAGGGAAGCUGUUAAGUCCGCCGCCUGGGAAGUACGGUCGCAAGACUGAAACUUAA